RNAcentral lists this long non-coding RNA (223 nucleotides) under Elaeis guineensis (African oil palm). Its description in RNAcentral is "long non-coding RNA (EGUI_LNC055268)". The record is from RNAcentral. Lineage: Eukaryota; Viridiplantae; Streptophyta; Magnoliopsida; Arecales; Arecaceae.
AUCGGCCAAACUAUGGAGCCCGAUGCCCGACUCCCACAAUGCGCCCGACUGACUGCCGGAGGGUUCCCGGACUUGCACCCAACGCCCCUCAACCAGCCGCCGACCUAUAGUCGGUCGGCUCCUCCAAACGCCGUACGACUGCUGGAGGCUGCCAGUCCUGACACCGGCAUGCGGCACAGCCGCCUUGGGGCAUUAUCCCACUUAAGGCAUGGGUCAACCCUAG